AGAGUUUGAUCAUGGCUCAGAUUGAACGCUGGCGGCAGGCCUAACACAUGCAAGUCGAACGGUAACAGGAAGCAGCUUGCUGCUUCGCUGACGAGUGGCGGACGGGUGAGUAAUGUCUGGGAAGCUGCCUGAUGGAGGGGGAUAACUACUGGAAACGGUAGCUAAUACCGCAUAAUGUCGCAAGACCAAAGAGGGGGACCUUCGGGCCUCUUGCCAUCGGAUGUGCCCAGAUGGGAUUAGCUUGUUGGUGGGGUAACGGCUCACCAAGGCGACGAUCCCUAGCUGGUCUGAGAGGAUGACCAGCCACACUGGAACUGAGACACGGUCCAGACUCCUACGGGAGGCAGCAGUGGGGAAUAUUGCACAAUGGGCGCAAGCCUGAUGCAGCCAUGCCGCGUGUACGAAGAAGGCCUUCGGGUUGUAAAGUACUUUCAGCGGGGAGGAAGGGAGUAAAGUUAAUACCUUUGCUCAUUGACGUUACCCGCAGAAGAAGCACCGGCUAACUCCGUGCCAGCAGCCGCGGUAAUACGGAGGGUGCAAGCGUUAAUCGGAAUUACUGGGCGUAAAGCGCACGCAGGCGGUUUGUUAAGUCAGAUGUGAAAUCCCCGGGCUCAACCUGGGAACUGCAUCUGAUACUGGCAAGCUUGAGUCUCGUAGAGGGGGGUAGAAUUCCAGGUGUAGCGGUGAAAUGCGUAGAGAUCUGGAGGAAUACCGGUGGCGAAGGCGGCCCCCUGGACGAAGACUGACGCUCAGGUGCGAAAGCGUGGGGAGCAAACAGGAUUAGAUACCCUGGUAGUCCACGCCGUAAACGAUGUCGACUUGGAGGUUGUGCCCUAGAGGCGUGGCUUCCGGAGCUAACGCGUUAAGUCGACCGCCUGGGGAGUACGGCCGCAAGGUUAAAACUCAAAUGAAUUGACGGGGGCCCGCACAAGCGGUGGAGCAUGUGGUUUAAUUCGAUGCAACGCGAAGAACCUUACCUGGUCUUGACAUCCACGGAAGUUUUCAGAGAUGAGAAUGUGCCUUCGGGAACCGUGAGACAGGUGCUGCAUGGCUGUCGUCAGCUCGUGUUGUGAAAUGUUGGGUUAAGUCCCGCAACGAGCGCAACCCUUAUCCUUUGUUGCCAGCGGUCCGGCCGGGAACUCAAAGGAGACUGCCAGUGAUAAACUGGAGGAAGGUGGGGAUGACGUCAAGUCAUCAUGGCCCUUACGACCAGGGCUACACACGUGCUACAAUGGCGCAUACAAAGAGAAGCGACCUCGCGAGAGCAAGCGGACCUCAUAAAGUGCGUCGUAGUCCGGAUUGGAGUCUGCAACUCGACUCCAUGAAGUCGGAAUCGCUAGUAAUCGUGGAUCAGAAUGCCACGGUGAAUACGUUCCCGGGCCUUGUACACACCGCCCGUCACACCAUGGGAGUGGGUUGCAAAAGAAGUAGGUAGCUUAACCUUCGGGAGGGCGCUUACCACUUUGUGAUUCAUGACUGGGGUGAAGUCGUAACAAGGUAACCGUAGGGGAACCUGCGGUUG
Molecule: ribosomal RNA, 1522 nt
Filed under: metagenome
Description: bacterial SSU rRNA
Rfam family: Bacterial small subunit ribosomal RNA
Source: RNAcentral